UUGUGGAGGAGGACGCCGAAGGGGGGGCUGAUGACUGGGGGGAAGUCGUAACAAGGUAGCCGUACCGGAAGGUGCGGCUGGAUCCCCUCCUAACAGGGAGACAAAAACUGAUUAUUGAUGUCUGAAUAUUUAUUUCAGGCCGUAAUCCUGUCACCUUAGGUCGAUCGGUACCUCAGAUUGAAGCUAUAUAAAAUGAGAAAUCAAUUUUAUACAUUGUCUUUAAUUUCAGUUCCUAAACUUGUCUAGGUCACACCCAACAAACUUUCUCCUGGGCUAUUAGCUCAGGCGGUUAGAGCGCACCCCUGAUAAGGGUGAGGUCCCUGGUUCAAGUCCAGGAUGGCCCAUUCGUUGUUGGGGGUAUAGCUCAGUUGGUAGAGCGCCUGCUUUGCAAGCAGGAUGUCAGCGGUUCGAGUCCGCUUACCUCCACUGAUCAACUACCUGAUAACUCAAUUGGAGAUUGUCAUUUGUUUUAGUGACUUAGAUGUUGUUCGCCUGAAUGAACCUAGCUUCCUGUCAUUCCUUAGUUUUUUAUUAAGGCUGAUAAGACGCUGGGCUCACUGAUAUUUGAAAAUUUAUCAGUUUGAUUCAGCAGAACCUUGACAACUGCAUAAGAAAAGUCUGGAAAAAAAGCAUCUCAUAGAUUUUUAGAAGCUUUUGAUUUAGAACUACUAAAUUCAAAGUUUCUAUUUUCAAUUCUUGAGUUAGAGCAAAAAACUCUGUAUCUGAUUCGCUUAUAAAAUAAGUGUUUAACUAAUUUUUAAAUUAGUUUCAGUUAUAGAGCUAUAAAUGGUCAAGCUACAA
RNAcentral lists this unclassified non-coding RNA (801 nucleotides) under uncultured Prochlorococcus sp. RNAcentral describes it as "partial 16S-23S ribosomal RNA intergenic spacer; may also contain 16S ribosomal RNA and 23S ribosomal RNA". The stretch from base 354 to 426 matches the Rfam family "tRNA". Lineage: Bacteria; Bacillati; Cyanobacteriota; Cyanophyceae; Synechococcales; Prochlorococcaceae. The record is from RNAcentral.